This 149-nucleotide ribosomal RNA is filed under the name Sclerotinia sclerotiorum. RNAcentral's name for it is "5.8S ribosomal RNA". It matches the Rfam family "5.8S ribosomal RNA". From Rfam's summary of the family: 5.8S ribosomal RNA (5.8S rRNA) is a component of the large subunit of the eukaryotic ribosome. It is transcribed by RNA polymerase I as part of the 45S precursor that also contains 18S and 28S rRNA. Functionally, it is thought that 5.8S rRNA may be involved in ribosome translocation. The record is from RNAcentral. Lineage: Eukaryota; Fungi; Ascomycota; Leotiomycetes; Helotiales; Sclerotiniaceae.
AACUUUCAACAACGGAUCUCUUGGUUCUGGCAUCGAUGAAGAACGCAGCGAAAUGCGAUAAGUAAUGUGAAUUGCAGAAUUCAGUGAAUCAUCGAAUCUUUGAACGCACAUUGCGCCCCUUGGUAUUCCGGGGGGCAUGCCUGUUCGAG